CUUAUUUUUAGAAGUUAAAAGAAAAUACAGAGACAGAUUGGGAAAGAAGCAGCAGUUAAUCUCUGGAUUAUUUUGUUAUGGAGAGGUUCUACUGAUGCAGCGUCAGAAGCGAUUUUGAGGGCGGAUUGCUACCACGACAGAAGUCACGGCACCGAUUGCAAAUAUGCUGCUACAAGUUCAUGAUGAUUUCGGAUUAAGUCAGAUCGUAGUUUCUUAAUAUCGUUCUGCUACGCUUCCAUCCGAUUUGAACUCAGAUUCGCCGCCAUCAUAGGUACCUUCCUUCAUUUGAGUUCGCUAGGUUUAAAAUAAGAUUCUCUCAUCUAUCCCUACCAUCUUCUUCUUCUUCUCUAUUGCAAAACUAAGUCAAUAAAUUCCAUUGUUUUGUUUCCCGUAUCUUUAUGUGCAUUUCGGAUGUUGAUUGUCUGGUGUUCAGCCAUUGAUUGCGUGGAUUAGUUGCAGAAUUCUUUCUCUUUUUUGUUGGAGCAAAUGAUUUGAAGUACUUUAAGCGUAGAAAAUUGAUAGAUUAGUUAUUCUAAUAGAAGUAAUUUUAUGUUAGAUGAUAACUUCAUAAAAAUGUUGGGCCUUACGGGUUAUGUUGAUGGUGGUUGUUCACUAUGUUUGAGAUUCGUGCCUCUUGCACCACCAUCAUUAUCAUGGCCAGAUUAAGCACUGUUGCCUAAACCACAUCAGCGCCGGGUUGAUAGUGCAGAGACGAGUAUGAAAAAAUAGCGCCAUUAGGACAUCAAUGAUCAUGAUUUUAUGCUUUUUUUUUUGUUUUUUAUAUAGAUAUUGAGAUGUUUUAGAAAAUGAUAGAUUUUUUCCAUUGAUUCUUGUUAGAGUUGAAGUGUGUUUAUCUCUUUGCAUUGUUGAUUAUUUUCGACUAAUUCAAGAUUUUAUCCAAUUACAGCCGAUGUUGUUAUCACAUUUUAAAAACUAUCUAGGGUCAACGUUAAUUUGAUUUUUGACAAUAAAUGGACAGAGGGAGGUCAA
This is a long non-coding RNA of Andrographis paniculata, 990 nucleotides long. RefSeq lists it as uncharacterized. The transcript has 3 exons. The record is from RefSeq and is a predicted model, not a curated record. NCBI's taxonomy places the organism in Eukaryota, Viridiplantae, Streptophyta, Magnoliopsida, Lamiales, Acanthaceae.